CCUACGGGAGGCAGCAGUGAGGAAUAUUGGUCAAUGGGCGCAAGCCUGAACCAGCCAAGUAGCGUGAAGGAUGAAGGUUCUAUGGAUUGUAAACUUCUUUUAUAAGGGAAUAAACCCACCUACGUGUAGGUGUCUGUAUGUACCUUAUGAAUAAGGACCGGCUAACUCCGUGCCAGCAGCCGCGGUAAU
RNAcentral lists this ribosomal RNA (189 nucleotides) under uncultured bacterium. RNAcentral's name for it is "partial 16S ribosomal RNA". It matches the Rfam family "Bacterial small subunit ribosomal RNA", at positions 338 to 524 of the family's 1533-position model. RNAcentral also lists the same sequence under 1 other name. The record is from RNAcentral.